UGGGGAAUUUUGGACAAUGGGGGCAACCCUGAUCCAGCCAUUCCGCGUGAGUGAAGAAGGCCUUCGGGUUGUAAAGCUCUUUUGUCCGGAACGAAACGGUUGUGGUGAACAGCCACGACUACUGACGGUACCGGAAGAAUAAGCACCGGCUAACUACGUGCCAGCAGCCGCGGUAAUACGUAGGGUGCGAGCGUUAAUCGGAAUUACUGGGCGUAAAGCGUGCGCAGGCGGUUUUGUAAGCCAGAUGUGAAAGCCCCGGGCUUAACCUGGGAAUGGCAUUUGGGACUGCAAGGCUUGAGUGCGGCAGAGGAGACUGGAAUUCCUGGUGUAGCAGUGAAAUGCGUAGAUAUCAGGAGGAAUACCGAUGGCGAAGGCAGGUCUCUGGGCUGACACUGACGCUCAUGCACGAAAGCGUGGGGAGCAAACAG
This 428-nucleotide ribosomal RNA is filed under the name uncultured bacterium. RNAcentral describes it as "bacterial SSU rRNA". It matches the Rfam family "Bacterial small subunit ribosomal RNA", at positions 355 to 775 of the family's 1533-position model. The record is from RNAcentral.